This 132-nucleotide transfer RNA is filed under the name Candidatus Haloredivivus sp. G17. It matches the Rfam family "tRNA". Rfam says of the family: Transfer RNA (tRNA) molecules are approximately 80 nucleotides in length. Their secondary structure includes four short double-helical elements and three loops (D, anti-codon, and T loops). Further hydrogen bonds mediate the characteristic L-shaped molecular structure. tRNAs have two regions of fundamental functional importance: the anti-codon, which is responsible for specific mRNA codon recognition, and the 3' end, to which the tRNAs corresponding amino acid is attached (by aminoacyl-tRNA synthetases). tRNAs cope with the degeneracy of the genetic code in two manners: having more than one tRNA (with a specific anti-codon) for a particular amino acid; and 'wobble' base-pairing, i.e. permitting non-standard base-pairing at the 3rd anti-codon position. The record is from Rfam by way of RNAcentral. Lineage: Archaea; Methanobacteriati; Methanobacteriota; Candidatus Nanohaloarchaea.
GCGGCGAUGGUCCAGUGGCUAAGACCCCGGCCUUCCAAGCCUCAAGUCCUGAUCUGCAGGACGAGGAUUGAGAAGAGCUCUGCUCUUCGACGAAGUUAGCCGGUGACCCGGGUUCAAAUCCCGGUCGCCGCA